UUUGAUCAUGGCUCAGGACGAACGCUGGCGGCGUGCCUAAUACAUGCAAGUUGAACGCUGAAGGUUGGUACUUGUACCGACUGGAUGAGCAGCGAACGGGUGAGUAACGCGUGGGGAAUCUGCCUUUGAGCGGGGGACAACAUUUGGAAACGAAUGCUAAUACCGCAUAAAAACUUUAAACACAAGUUUUAAGUUUGAAAGAUGCAAUUGCAUCACUCAAAGAUGAUCCCGCGUUGUAUUAGCUAGUUGGUGAGGUAAAGGCUCACCAAGGCGAUGAUACAUAGCCGACCUGAGAGGGUGAUCGGCCACAUUGGGACUGAGACACGGCCCAAACUCCUACGGGAGGCAGCAGUAGGGAAUCUUCGGCAAUGGACGAAAGUCUGACCGAGCAACGCCGCGUGAGUGAAGAAGGUUUUCGGAUCGUAAAACUCUGUUGGUAGAGAAGAACGUUGGUGAGAGUGGAAAGCUCAUCAAGUGACGGUAACUACCCAGAAAGGGACGGCUAACUACGUGCCAGCAGCCGCGGUAAUACGUAGGUCCCGAGCGUUGUCCGGAUUUAUUGGGCGUAAAGCGAGCGCAGGUGGUUUAUUAAGUCUGGUGUAAAAGGCAGUGGCUCAACCAUUGUAUGCAUUUGGAAACUGGUAGACUUGAGUGCAGGAGAGGAGAGUGGAAUUCCAUGUGUAGCGGUGAAAUGCGUAGAUAUAUGGAGGAACACCGGUGGCGAAAGCGGCUCUCUGGGCCUGUAACUGACACUGAGGCUCGAAAGCGUGGGGAGCAAACAGGAUUAGAUACCCUGGUAGUGCACGCCGUAAACGAUGAGUGCUAGAUGUAGGGAGCUAUAAGUUCUCUGUGUCGCAGCUAACGCAAUAAGCACUCCGCCUGGGGAGUACGACCGCAAGGUUGAAACUCAAAGGAAUUGACGGGGGCCCGCACAAGCGGUGGAGCAUGUGGUUUAAUUCGAUGCAACGCGAAGAACCUUACCUGGUCUUGACAUCCACAGAACUUGGCAGAGAUGCCUUGGUGCCUUCGGGAACUGUGAGACAGGUGCUGCAUGGCUGUCGUCAGCUCGUGUUGUGAAAUGUUGGGUUAAGUCCCGCAACGAGCGCAACCCUUAUCCUUUGUUGCCAGCGAUUCGGUCGGGAACUCAAAGGAGACUGCCAGUGAUAAACUGGAGGAAGGUGGGGAUGACGUCAAGUCAUCAUGGCCCUUACGACCAGGGCUACACACGUGCUACAAUGGCAUAUACAAAGAGAAGCGACCUCGCGAGAGCAAGCGGACCUCAUAAAGUAUGUCGUAGUCCGGAUUGGAGUCUGCAACUCGACUCCAUGAAGUCGGAAUCGCUAGUAAUCGUGGAUCAGAAUGCCACGGUGAAUACGUUCCCGGGCCUUGUACACACCGCCCGUCACACCAUGGGAGUGGGUUGCAAAAGAAGUAGGUAGCUUAACCUUCGGGAGGGCGCUUACCACUUUGUGAUUCAUGACUGGGGUGAAGUCGUAACA
RNAcentral lists this ribosomal RNA (1499 nucleotides) under uncultured bacterium. RNAcentral's name for it is "bacterial SSU rRNA". It matches the Rfam family "Bacterial small subunit ribosomal RNA". The record is from RNAcentral.